Molecule: ribosomal RNA, 806 nt
Filed under: uncultured bacterium
Lineage: Bacteria
Description: bacterial SSU rRNA
Rfam family: Bacterial small subunit ribosomal RNA
Source: RNAcentral
AGAGUUUGAUCCUGGCUCAGGAUGAACGCUGGCGGCGUGCCUGAUACAUGCAAGUCGAGCGAACGGACGAGAAGCUUGCUUCUCUGAUGUUAGCGGCGGACGGGUGAGUAACACGUGGAUAACCUACCUAUAAGACUGGGAUAACUUCGGGAAACCGGAGCUAAUACCGGAUAAUAUUUUGAACCGCAUGGUUCAAAAGUGAAAGGCGGUCUUGCUGUCGCUUAUAGAUGGAUCCGCGCUGCAUUAGCUAGUUGGUAAGGUAACGGCUUACCAAGGCAACGAUGCAUAGCCGACCUGAGAGGGUGAUCGGCCACACUGGAACUGAGACACGGCCCAGACUCCUACGGGAGGCAGCAGUAGGGAAUCUUCCGCAAUGGGCGAAAGCCUGACGGAGCAACGCCGCGUGAGUGAUGAAGGUCUUCGGAUCGUAAAACUCUGUUAUUAGGGAAGAACAUAUGUGUAAGUAACUGUGCACAUCUUGACGGUACCUAAUCAGAAAGCCACGGCUAACUACGUGCCAGCAGCCGCGGUAAUACGUAGGUGGCAAGCGUUAUCCGGAAUUAUUGGGCGUAAAGCGCGCGUAGGCGGUUUUUUAAGUCUGAUGUGAAAGCCCACGGCUCAACCGUGGAGGGUCAUUGGAAACUGGAAAACUUGAGUGCAGAAGAGGAAAGUGGAAUUCCAUGUGUAGCGGUGAAAUGCGCAGAGAUAUGGAGGAACACCAGUGGCGAAGGCGACUUUCUGGUCUGUAACUGACGCUGAUGUGCGAAAGCGUGGGGAUCAAACAGGAUUAGAUACCCUGGUAGUCC